GGAUGUGAGCCCAUCUGGCUGCGACUCUGGCACUCCAGUGAUCACCAGGGUUGAUUCAGCUGAACUGGGUGCUAGAUCAGUGUCCCUUUCCUCCCUCACUGCUCCAUGUGCAGCUCCCCCGAAGCUGUGAUCUAGGUCAAUGGCGAUGACCUUCUGGAUAGAGGAAAAAAUAGUUCUACUGAAGAUUUCAAGUGGAAAAUUUGAAAAUUGAUGCAAUUCUUUAGGCCUAAUUUUUUUAUUUGUGAAUUCAAGAAAAUACAUUGGUUUUAGUGCUCCAAACAAAGAUAUAGAAGCAUAAUUUUCCUCUUUUUAAAGAGCAAAAAUUAAAU
Molecule: non-coding RNA, 329 nt
Organism: Myotis lucifugus (little brown bat)
Lineage: Eukaryota; Metazoa; Chordata; Mammalia; Chiroptera; Vespertilionidae
Source: Rfam